RNAcentral lists this ribosomal RNA (460 nucleotides) under uncultured bacterium. RNAcentral describes it as "partial 16S ribosomal RNA". It matches the Rfam family "Bacterial small subunit ribosomal RNA", at positions 338 to 795 of the family's 1533-position model. The record is from RNAcentral.
CCUACGGGGGGCAGCAGUGAGGAAUAUUGGUCAAUGGACGAGAGUCUGAACCAGCCAAGUAGCGUGAAGGAUGACUGACCUAUGGGUUGUAAACUUCUUUUAUAAAGGAAUAAAACGAGGCACGUGUGCCUUUUUGUAUGUACUUUAUGAAUAAGGAUCGGCUAACUCCGUGCCAGCAGCCGCGGUAAUACGGAGGAUGCGAGCGUUAUCCGGAUUUAUUGGGUUUAAAGGGAGCGUAGAUGGGUUGUUAAGUCAGCUGUGAAAGUUUGCGGCUCAACCGUAAAAUUGCAAUUGAUACUGGCAGUCUUGAGUACAGUUGAGGUAGGCGGAAUUCGUGGUGUAGCGGUGAAAUGCUUAGAUAUCACGAAGAACCCCGAUUGCGAAGGCAGCUUACUAAACUGUGACUGACAUUGAUGCUCGAAAGUGUGGGUAUCAAACAGGAUUAGAUACCCUAGUAGUC